This 253-nucleotide ribosomal RNA is filed under the name uncultured bacterium. Its description in RNAcentral is "partial 16S ribosomal RNA". It matches the Rfam family "Bacterial small subunit ribosomal RNA", at positions 524 to 776 of the family's 1533-position model. The record is from RNAcentral.
UACGGGGGGGGCAAGCGUUGUCCGGAAUUACUGGGCGUAAAGGGCUCGUAGGCGGCCAACUAAGUCGGAUGUGAAAUCCCCAAGCUUAACUUGGGAACUGCAUCCGAUACUGGAUGGCUUGAAUCCGGGAGAGGGAUGCAGAAUUCCAGGUGUAGCGGUGAAAUGCGUAGAUAUCUGGAGGAAUACCGGUGGCGAAGGUGGCAUCCUGGACCGGCAUUGACGCUGAGGAGCGAAAGCUAGGGGAGCAAACGGG